This 888-nucleotide long non-coding RNA is filed under the name Helianthus annuus (common sunflower). The record is from RNAcentral. Lineage: Eukaryota; Viridiplantae; Streptophyta; Magnoliopsida; Asterales; Asteraceae.
UCUCCGGCGAUCCAGAUCUGGAUCUAGGGUUUUUCUCCAUCACGUUUCUACUACUACAUUUCCUCAUGGAAAUCAUUGGAAUCAAACUCAGUCUAGGUUAGAGUACACAAAUAUGGAGAAACAACAUUUGUGCCAUGUCUUAUGCUACUGAUUCGCUUCAGAUCCGGACAUAGAUUUUAUUCCAAGACAUCAGUUUAAGAUUCUUCAAGUUUUGUGAAGAGCGGUCUAAUUUACUCGACACCCAGAGGUGCUAAGGUUCAACUAUUUUCAAGGUUUCUUUCUUACGUACCUCAGAACUUAUCACGUUAAGUUGUGUUGUUGAUCUGAACAAAUACGCACACGAAAGCUUGAAGUCGAAUGAAUCAGAGACAGAGGUCUAAAGCUACAUAUGGAGUUCUUCUUGCUGCAAAUGUCCAACCAACAUAUGAGAGUUCUUGCUGUUGAUGAUAAUCCAACUUGUUUGAAAUUAUAGGAGGGUCUUUUGAGAAAAUGCCAAUAUCAAGUCACAACAAUCAAGCAAUAACAGCACUGAGUAUGUUGAGAGAGAAUUGAAACAGAUUUGAUUUGAUCAUCAAUGAUGUUUACAUGCCAGACAUGGAUGGUUUCAAGCUUCUUGAACUCGUUGGGCUCGAAAUGGAUUUACCAGUCAUCAUGUUAUCAGGAAACGAUGACCGGAAUCUUGCGAUGAAAGGGAUCACUCAUGGCGCUUUGAUCAUCUCGUGAAACCGGUUCGCCUUGAGGAGCUACGUAACAUAUGGCAGCAGGUGAUCAGGUGAAAAGUUGAGUCAAAAUCACAGUCAAAGUCAAAACACAACCAUGAAAAAUCAGAUUAAGGGAACAAAGGUGGAGAUCAGAACGAGAAGUUGAACCGAAAACGAAAAGAUGAAG